Phalacrocorax carbo (great cormorant) is the source of this 2970-nucleotide non-coding RNA. The record is from RefSeq and is a predicted model, not a curated record. NCBI's taxonomy places the organism in Eukaryota, Metazoa, Chordata, Aves, Suliformes, Phalacrocoracidae.
UGAUAGAGCACAUGUCACAUGGCUGAGUCAUUGACACUGCCAUGCUUUGUAGACUGAGUCAUACUAAUUGUCAGCAAGAGGAAGGAGGAAGAAAGACUGAGAGUGAUCCUACUCCUGAGAGGUUCUAGCUGAAAAUUAUCCAAACCAGUAUUAAUCAAAACAUGAAUGAAAAUUCAUUUCACAUUCCAAAGCAAGGAAUCCUGCUUUGGAAAGGCUGAAUGCUGGCAAGCAGGAACCAAGGUGUACGAGGAGAGCCCAGGGAGGAAGCUGACACAGCUCUCCGUUAUCCUGAGAACACGAUGUGGCCCUGCAUGCAUCAUUCACUUGCCUUCAAAAGGUGAAAUGAGGGGCAAGUGUUUUCCACUUUGUUACUUCACAAAACACAUGGAAAAGACACAGUCUUGUUCAGCCAAAGACAUGGGCUUUGGCAGUAUGGUUCUCUUGUUUCCACACACGCUCCCUGCCUCACUGUGGCAGCCACUAGAAUUAGCAUGCAGAAAUCAUGGGGGUGUUUGUCCCACAGGCCAGGCUAACUGACCUAAUUUUAAUCUAGCUGUUGGCUACCGAGAGCCUGGAAGCCACAGAGUGUGAAUUUGUGGGCCAGCCCUGUACUAACUCAGCUCACCUCAGUUAAAGAUAAUGCUGAUACAUCUGGGCUGCUGCCUAUGCAGUAGCUAAGACAAAGCUGUGUCCCCUGUAUAUUUGUAUGUCAUAGGCAGAUACCCAACUGCAGCACGUAUACACCCCAGCUCACCCACCUAUUAUUCCACAUAAACAGUUAGUGGUGCACCGACAGUCAUCAAAAAACAUACCUGCGCCCACAGGUACAGUAUAAAGUUGAAUAAUACCAAUUUCAUAGCUUGUUUUAAUAUCCAUAUUUCUUUAGCAAUUUACAUAGAGGUCAGAAUGGGUCCUAUGUUUACCCUUCCUCAGCAUUAGAACCGCUUUUGCUAAAUAAGAAAACACUAGUAUUUAAAACAACAUAACCUGAUAGAAAACAUCUUCAUCCCAUCUGGGCAGCAAUACCGAAUUGUAAAGACUUGCAAAGAAUAAAAACUAUGACUCACUAAUAUAAGUACAAAUCAGAUAACAUCUAAAAUGCAAGUAAAAGAAGGAAAUUAAAAUAAUUUGGUUGUGGAAAAAAAAGUACUUUUAAUACACCCAGAUUCUGAUAUUUAUCUUUGCUCUAUCUAGGAAAUACAAUCACUUUUCAACCCUAAUUUUGUUAUUUUUCACUCUUUUAACAUAAUCAGCUAUCUAAGGCUUAAGAUCUAUAGAACUAUUUCUAAUACAAAAGUAAUUUGGUGAAGGAGUAAAGUACCAUUGUGAAAUAUUAUGUAUUUUAAAAAUAUGUAUCAAAAGUUGUGUUUCACUUAGUGCAGCAGGAGUCGAACAGAGAGGUAAUAUGUUUCUUUUAGUACUUGCAAGUAAACUUUCCAGCUUAUUUGCUGUUCACAAGCUCUGUAUCUAAUCUUAGUUUUUCUCCCAGCCAGCUGUAAGCACUUCCCUGCCUGCCUCUGGGUAUUUCUUUGAUGCCUUUAUUAUGCUUCCUGUCAAACAGACAGGGAAUUCACCAAGCAACAGUCAGAAUCCUUUUGUAGUCAGACCCAAAGAAAUGCACUUGGCCACGUAGCUCCAAUUCUUCACCUGCCCUGCGUUUAACACAGCUCUGAUUAUUUCAGCUAUAUAUUCUACAAAGGAACAGAACUGUUUUUACGGUUUUCUGGCAUAAAAGGCUCCUUCUCUAUCUACAUGCUCCCCCUGUAUUAUGCAGAAAUCUGGUAAUUGUACUCUCCACUUACUUUACUUUUCUAAAAGAAAAACUGUUUAUAUAUCAAAUGGGAAAGAGCAUAGAGACUAUGCCUAAUCACCUGGCCUAAAUUUUAAUCUUAAAAUUUUGGCAUAGAUUGGAUUUUAAUGGUAUCUAUUUGGCAUUGGACAACUGUCAUCUUGAACUUGCUAUUUAUGAAAAUGAAACAGAAAAGUUUUAAAAGGUUCAAUUUAGUCUUUUAUUUAAAGAUAAACUGUUGUUCAUUAUAUUGACUUAGUAGUCUACAUAACUGUCUCAAGUUUAGAAAGGGAAGAGGGAAAAGUAGAUCCGAAAAGCUGGAAAAGUAAGAAAAAGGAAUACUGUACCAUGCCAGCAAAAACAAAAUAUGUUUUCUUUUUUAAAAUAAAUAUACAGUAAAUCCCAAAUGUGCAAUUAAGACUGUGGUCAUCACUAAAGGCCAAUUAUAUUUACUGAUUUCUCAUCCUUGGAUGAAUGUUACCACAGCCAUCUGAUGUUACUCAUAUUGCAUAAUGGUCAUAAUAGACUUCUUUCUUUAUCAACUUUAUCCAUUUAACCUCUACCUCUUUUCUUAUUCCUUCUUUCCUAUAUCACUUCCUUCUUUUCCACCUCUGAUGUUCUUUCCCUCUCUUUUCUCCUUUUGCUGCUUCCAUAUUCUUCUCUCCCCUCCCAUAUACAUCCUCACUGCUACUGAUGAUAUCCAUGCUGCUCACUAUCUGUGGAAAACUGCAUAGUCUAAAUACCUACUGGCAAUUUAAGGUGCUUGAAGGAAACCGAACUUCCCAGAGUACUGGCUGGUGGCAUCACCUCACAAAACACUAGGACCGGACGGCCAAGGGUGUGGGCAGCCCUGAGCACACCAGAGGCUCCUCACCAUGACCUUGGCCACCCCUGGCUGCCGCACAGCCUCCCUGGCUGCCAGGACUCUAGAAAUGCUUCACAGGCAAUUACGUCUGCUGCUGAGAAGCCACGCUGGCACACUUUCUAGACACAGAUCUUUCAUGGAAGGAACUGCCUAGAAUUGUACAGACUGCAAGGAGUUAAUAAACUGAAUGCUAUGCUACUAGAUUACUAAAAUUCUUAAGGUGUGUAUGUAGUUACUUGCAAAUGAAAAGCUUUUCCUAAGUGUUGAGAAAGUACUCUGAGUGAAAUUUUGAUAUAAUAAAAUCCUAGUCCUCUUC